This 240-nucleotide ribosomal RNA is filed under the name uncultured bacterium. RNAcentral's name for it is "partial 16S ribosomal RNA". It matches the Rfam family "Bacterial small subunit ribosomal RNA", at positions 117 to 353 of the family's 1533-position model. The record is from RNAcentral.
GUGGGUAACCUGCCUUAUAGUGGGGGAUAGCCUUUCGAAAGGAAGAUUAAUACCGCAUAAGAUUGUAGUAUCGCAUGAUAUAGCAAUUAAAGGAGCAAUUCGCUAUAAGAUGGACCCGCGUCGCAUUAGCUAGUUGGUGAGGUAAUGGCUCACCAAGGCGACGAUGCGUAGCCGACCUGAGAGGGUGAUCGGCCNCAUUGGGACUGAGACACGGCCCAGACUCCUACGGGAGGCAGCAUG